This 253-nucleotide ribosomal RNA is filed under the name uncultured bacterium. RNAcentral describes it as "partial 16S ribosomal RNA". It matches the Rfam family "Bacterial small subunit ribosomal RNA", at positions 524 to 776 of the family's 1533-position model. The record is from RNAcentral.
UACGUAGGGGGGCAAGCGUUGUCCGGAAUUAUUGGGCGUAAAGCGCGCGCAGGCGGUCAUUUAAGUCUGGUGUUUAAGCCCGGGGCUCAACCCCGGUUCGCAUCGGAAACUGGAUGACUUGAGUGUAGGAGAGGAAAGUGGAAUUCCACGUGUAGCGGUGAAAUGCGUAGAGAUGUGGAGGAACACCAGUGGCGAAGGCGGGUCCCUGGACAACACCUGACACUGAGGCACGAAAGCUAGGGGAGCAAACAGG